GUGUGUAAAUUGUGUUCAGCACCAAGGACAGGUAUGUUAACAUGUGUGUGCGGAUGUUGUUCUGCACCAAGGACAGGUGUGUUUGCCU
RNAcentral lists this microRNA precursor (88 nucleotides) under Branchiostoma floridae (Florida lancelet). RNAcentral's name for it is "mir-2060 microRNA precursor family". It matches the Rfam family "mir-2060 microRNA precursor family". Lineage: Eukaryota; Metazoa; Chordata; Leptocardii; Amphioxiformes; Branchiostomatidae. The record is from Rfam by way of RNAcentral.